UACGUAGGGCGCAAGCGUUGUCCGGAAUUAUUGGGCGUAAAGAGCUUGUAGGCGGUUUGUCGCGUCUGCUGUGAAAAUCCGGGGCUCAACCCCGGACUUGCAGUGGGUACGGGCAGGCUAGAGUGUGGUAGGGGAGACUGGAAUUCCUGGUGUAGCGGUGGAAUGCGCAGAUAUCAGGAGGAACACCGAUGGCGAAGGCAGGUCUCUGGGCCACUACUGACGCUGAGAAGCGAAAGCAUGGGGAGCGAACAGG
RNAcentral lists this ribosomal RNA (253 nucleotides) under uncultured bacterium. RNAcentral's name for it is "partial 16S ribosomal RNA". It matches the Rfam family "Bacterial small subunit ribosomal RNA", at positions 524 to 776 of the family's 1533-position model. The record is from RNAcentral.